This 486-nucleotide ribosomal RNA is filed under the name uncultured bacterium. RNAcentral describes it as "partial 16S ribosomal RNA". It matches the Rfam family "Bacterial small subunit ribosomal RNA", at positions 29 to 507 of the family's 1533-position model. The record is from RNAcentral.
AUUGAACGCUGGCGGCAUGCCUUACACAUGCAAGUCGAACGGCAGCACGGGUGCUUGCACCUGGUGGCGAGUGGCGAACGGGUGAGUAAUACAUCGGAACAUGUCCUGUAGUGGGGGAUAGCCCGGCGAAAGCCGGAUUAAUACCGCAUACGAUCUACGGAUGAAAGCGGGGGACCUUCGGGCCUCGCGCUAUAGGGUUGGCCGAUGGCUGAUUAGCUAGUUGGUGGGGUAAAGGCCUACCAAGGCGACGAGCAGUAGCUGGUCUGAGAGGAGGACCAGCCACCUGGGGAGGAAGACAGGGCCACGACGCCUGGGGGAGGGAGCAGGGGGGUAUUUGGGAAAGUGGGGGAAAGUUUGGCCCAGAAGUCCGGGGGGGGAGAAAAGGCCUUCGGGUUUGAAAAGACUUUGGGCCGGGAAAGAAACCCUUGCCCCAAAUACGGGGGGGGAGUGAGGGUACGGGAAAAAAAAGCACAGGCUAACUACGGG